This 94-nucleotide microRNA precursor is filed under the name Macaca nemestrina (pig-tailed macaque). RNAcentral describes it as "miRNA (ENSMNEG00000023683.1)". The record is from RNAcentral. Lineage: Eukaryota; Metazoa; Chordata; Mammalia; Primates; Cercopithecidae.
UGAGGCAGGAGAAUUGCUUGAUCCCAGGAAGUGGAGGCUGCAGUGAGCCGAGAUUGCGCCACUGCACUCCAGCCUGGGUGACAGAGCAAGACUC